Molecule: non-coding RNA, 108 nt
Organism: Acanthosepion pharaonis
Lineage: Eukaryota; Metazoa; Mollusca; Cephalopoda; Sepiida; Sepiidae
Source: the annotation of a GenBank genome assembly
UUACGGCCAUAUCACGUUGCAACACUAGUUCUCAUCAGAUCACCGAAAUUAAGCAACAUCGAGCCUGACCAGUACCUAAAUGGGUGUGACCACUAGGUAAUAUCAGGU